Molecule: long non-coding RNA, 400 nt
Organism: Triticum aestivum (bread wheat)
Lineage: Eukaryota; Viridiplantae; Streptophyta; Magnoliopsida; Poales; Poaceae
Exons: 3
Source: RefSeq, a predicted model, not a curated record
GUUCUUAUGACCAAAACACUCUCAGGGGGGCCCCAUGGCAAGUUCAGUCACAAGGCGCUAACACUGACAUAUUUACGGGCAACCAACCUCAACUAGCUAGUAUGGCUAAUCAAGGGCCUUCAUGCAGCACGUGGCAUCAGCCAGCACCCAUGUACCUGCCAUCGACGUCAUACACAGCGUAUUACGCUGGUGGUGACACGGCAAACGUCCCGUGGCAAGCUUCACAAAUUGCAGGUGGAGCACGACAUUUUGGUGUCACAGACCACACAAGAUGGCCAAAUGCAGCACAACAAGGUAAGGAAAAAAAUUGAACCACAAAAAACAUCACUACAUUUGUUGUUUGUAGUUUUUUGUAGGCAAAACAAUAGUUGCCAUGUUUGUUGAACAGUACCUGCCAUGA